CGUAGGUGGCGAGCGUUGUCCGGAUUUAUUGGGUUUAAAGGGUGCGUAGGCGGCCCUGUAAGUCAGUGGUGAAAUACGGCAGCUCAACUGUCGAGGUGCCAUUGAUACUGCGGGGCUUGAGUGUUGAUGAGGUAGGCGGAAUUGACGGUGUAGCGGUGAAAUGCUUAGAUAUCGUCAAGAACACCGAUAGCGAAGGCAGCUUACCAAGCAAUAACUGACGCUGAGGCACGAAAGUGCGGGGAUCAAACAGGAUUAGAUACCCUGGUAGUCCGCACAGUAAACGAUGAUUACUCGAUGUUGGCGAUACACAGCCAGCGUCUUAGCGAAAGCGAUAAGUAAUCCACCUGGGGAGUACGCCCGCAAGGGUG
This 368-nucleotide ribosomal RNA is filed under the name uncultured organism. Its description in RNAcentral is "bacterial SSU rRNA". It matches the Rfam family "Bacterial small subunit ribosomal RNA", at positions 526 to 896 of the family's 1533-position model. The record is from RNAcentral.